GGGGAUUUAGCUCAGUGGUAGAGUGCUUGCCUAGCAAGCACAAGGCCCUGGGUUCGGUUCUCAGCUCCG
This 69-nucleotide transfer RNA is filed under the name Rattus norvegicus (Norway rat). It matches the Rfam family "tRNA". From Rfam's summary of the family: Transfer RNA (tRNA) molecules are approximately 80 nucleotides in length. Their secondary structure includes four short double-helical elements and three loops (D, anti-codon, and T loops). RNAcentral also lists the same sequence under 1 other name. Lineage: Eukaryota; Metazoa; Chordata; Mammalia; Rodentia; Muridae. The record is from Rfam by way of RNAcentral.